AUGGCAGAGAGGUUCCCUCUCCAGGUGACAGUGGUGAAGGUGCCUGGCGUGAGCUUCUCUGCCCUGGGAGCUGCCUGGGAGCUGCCUUCUGUCCCCAGGCUGCCACUGUCCUCUGGGCCUGUCCAGCUCCACACCGCCUCCCACCAGCUGGCCCCAGUCACCACCAGGCAGGGCGUCCCAGGGACCCUGGGGCAGGUGGUGCAUCUUCCCUCUGUGGUGCAUCUUCCCCAGCUGGUGCAGCUGCCCCUCGGGGCUGCUCUCUGUCCCACUGCCUAUGGCUGGGUACAGCAGGUGGUGAUGGGGACACUGCUGCCCUACCAGCCAAGAGCUGUGGUCCAGGAAGAGGCCCUUUACCCCAUAGGCUCUAAUGUGUUCCACAUCCACAAUCAACCUGCCCUGGCUCUACCAGCUGGCACAACUACGAUGGAGCCCGAAGAAGUGAUGACCACGGAUCUCCCUGGAGACGGAUCAGCUGCCACCACAGAGGCCAUUCCUGAGCAGGCAGGGGACAGCACAGACACACAUCUAUUUGCCUGGCCUGACACUGCAGAGAGUGAGGACACCGCCCUUGACAGCCCCAGCAGCUCCACCUUGGAUGCUCUCCUGGAAGAACUCUCUGAGUACCUGGAGGACAGUGGCUGCCUUGACAAUCAAGUGGAGUUGGCACAGCAAGGGGACAAUGAGGACACCGUCUUGGCCGCCAAUGUCCCCAGCCUGACAGCUGAGGACUUCGAUGAGUUCAUUGAAUUCUGUGAAUUCCUGCUGGAAGACGACCAUCCCAAGAAGCCGGUGGUGGAGGACAGCUGGCAGCAGCCAGGCCAAGAGCUGUGCGCCAGCCAGCACCCCCACGAGCUAAGAGACCUUCCCGCAGGACCAUGGCCCAGCCGGCAAGAAAAAGACGACGGCAGUGAUGCAGCACCAAGGCCAGAAGACAAUCUGAGCCAGUGACCUACAUCCAGAGCCCCAGCCCUCUCCUACACUCCUCAUUCCCAUUUAGUCAUUAAAGGCUUGUUUUUCAUCUCCUCUCUCUGCUAGGGUUCAUAUUCACAGUGGGAGGGGGCCCCAUGUGGGUCCCACUGGGCUGGCGUAGGUGACAAAGAGGAUGGGGACAUUGUUCUGGGUGCUGGGCAUCUCUGGGGGAAACAAUACUGGUGAGAGUCCUCAGAGCAUCAAGCAGCAGGACAGGCACCACGGAGUCACCAGGAGCAGGGAGCACGGCGCUGGGCACGUGCUAAGCUUCCCACUUGGUUUGGCUGCCAGAGGCCAAGGAAAGAAGGAGCUGCCCCAAGCAGGGGAACCUUUCCUUGGCAGGGAGUGGAUGAGAUGGAACGUUGUGGGAUGGUUCUGUUGGGGAUUUGAAAUGUCCUGAGUGCUGCCAUAGGGAUUUCUCAUUUGCCACAGGGCAAUUUCUCAUCUCUAAAAGGACCAACUCUCUCUGCAGAGCAUCCUGGCUGGUUCUCUCACCCUGUCACUUGUCCCCCUCGGCCUGCUCCCCACAUUUUCUAUAUUGAGAAGGAUUUUCUGUGGUACGGAAUGUCCCUCCAACCAGUUCAGGUCAGCUGUCCUAGCCAUGCCCCCUCUCCCAGCCCCUUUAGGACAUAUCUCCCUUUGACGGGGUCUCUGUAAGGAGUAUUCAAGGCAGGUUGGAUGGGGCUUGGAGCAGCCUGGUCUGGUUGAAGGUGUCUCUGCCAUGGCACAAGGGUUGGAAUUGAAAUGACCUUUAAGGUCCCUUCCAUCCCAUACUGGUCUGGGUUCUUUGGCAGACACAGUGAGAGAGGGAACAGCUUGAAACAGUUUCAAAAACUAAAUUUUCCACUGGCCUAUAUUCUGUCAUCCCAUUUUACGAAAAAAACAAGAAAUCUAAAUUAAAAGGAGAUAUCAAGCAGGCAAGAAUCAUCUGCUGUAGCCAAAGGAAACUGAAUCUAACAUUUAACCCAUCUGGCUUAAA
Long non-coding RNA from Cyanistes caeruleus (blue tit), 1948 nucleotides. NCBI's taxonomy places the organism in Eukaryota, Metazoa, Chordata, Aves, Passeriformes, Paridae. The record is from Ensembl.